RNAcentral lists this unclassified non-coding RNA (26 nucleotides) under Dictyostelium discoideum. The record is from RNAcentral. Lineage: Eukaryota; Evosea; Eumycetozoa; Dictyosteliales; Dictyosteliaceae.
GAGUUCGUUCCUCAUUGGAGCCUCCA